UUUUAUCAGAUUAUUCCCUGUUGAAGACUAAUGAUAAUUUGUUGUAUAUUAUCUUAGUCAUAAUAUUCUUUACUGGGCUAGUUGAGCUCACCCUUUUGUUCCAUUUUUUUCUCAGGAGGUGAGAACAUAGCAGGAACUAGUCGGGGUACAGAGUGAUGGUUCUAGAAAGUUAUUUUAGCAGUCCUCACUAUUUUUAAAAUAGUGUAUCAAUAAUUGUAAUGAAG
Molecule: long non-coding RNA, 224 nt
Filed under: Panax ginseng (ginseng)
Lineage: Eukaryota; Viridiplantae; Streptophyta; Magnoliopsida; Apiales; Araliaceae
Description: long non-coding RNA (PGIN_LNC011908)
Source: RNAcentral